AUUGAACGCUGGCGGCAGGCCUAACACAUGCAAGUCGAGCGGAUGAAGGGAGCUUGCUCCUGGAUUCAGCGGCGGACGGGUGAGUAAUGCCUAGGAAUCUGCCUGGUAGUGGGGGAUAACGUCCGGAAACGGGCGCUAAUACCGCAUACGUCCUGAGGGAGAAAGUGGGGGAUCUUCGGACCUCACGCUAUCAGAUGAGCCUAGGUCGGAUUAGCUAGUUGGUGGGGUAAAGGCCUACCAAGGCGACGAUCCGUAACUGGUCUGAGAGGAUGAUCAGUCACACUGGAACUGAGACACGGUCCAGACUCCUACGAGAGGCAGCAGUGGGGAAUAUUGGACAAUGGGCGAAAGCCUGAUACAGCCAUGCCGCGUGUGUGAAGAAGGUCUUCGGAUUGUAAAGCACUUUAAGUUGGGAGGAAGGGCAGUAAGUUAAUACCUUGCUGUUUUGACGUUACCAACAGAAUAAGCACCGGCUAACUUCGUG
RNAcentral lists this ribosomal RNA (484 nucleotides) under uncultured bacterium. Its description in RNAcentral is "partial 16S ribosomal RNA". It matches the Rfam family "Bacterial small subunit ribosomal RNA", at positions 30 to 507 of the family's 1533-position model. The record is from RNAcentral.